CACCUUUUCUUCCUCCUCAUUUCUCAUAUCGUGUCAUUCUUUCGUUUUUGCACUUUCUCCGCACUCUGAAUUUUGCAACUCGCAUUCAAAUUCGUACCUUUUGUUUUUUGAAAAAAGGAAAUAAAAUAAUACAUCUCUGUAGAUUGUGAGUGCUGGGAAAAAUUGGUUAGGUGGAAAAAUUAGAAAUUAUAAGUUUUUUUUUUUUUUAAUCAAAAUUAGGAAUUCAAAGAUUUAGCAUUGACUAUCUACUUGUGCAUUUUUUUCACUCUUUUCUUUUGGGAAUUAUAGAGGCUCUGCGGACAAGUAAGAGGGAAAUGGCGGUUGCAACAAGAGAAAUUUUACGUCUAAUAUAUCUUCAUCGCCAUCGCCGUCGCCUGAUGAGGAUCCCAGAACCAGGACGAACAAUCUCGCGUGCUCCAUGCCUCCCUCACUCAUGUUAUAAAGUUGGGAUGGACUGAAGCUGCGCUAAUUGCAGGAGCAAAGGAUGUUGGACUCUCCCCUUCCAUCGUUGGGUUCUUUGCCGAGGAAGGAAGUCGCUCUGGUUGAGGUGCUGAGCUUUCAUAUGGUAAAGUGGCUGAAACCAAGUUCUCGAGCGUUGAGAAGGAAGAAUAGCAAUACCAGAAACAAUCUAUCUUGGCAGAGUCUAAAUU
Arachis ipaensis is the source of this 650-nucleotide long non-coding RNA. RefSeq lists it as uncharacterized. The record is from RefSeq and is a predicted model, not a curated record. Lineage: Eukaryota; Viridiplantae; Streptophyta; Magnoliopsida; Fabales; Fabaceae.